Molecule: ribosomal RNA, 492 nt
Filed under: uncultured bacterium
Lineage: Bacteria
Description: partial 16S ribosomal RNA
Rfam family: Bacterial small subunit ribosomal RNA
Source: RNAcentral
AGUGAACGCUGGCGGUAGGCCUAACACAUGCAAGUCGAACGGCAGCACAGUAAGAGCUUGCUCUUACGGGUGGCGAGUGGCGGACGGGUGAGGAAUACAUCGGAAUCUACUUUUUCGUGGGGGAUAACGUAGGGAAACUUACGCUAAUACCGCAUACGACCUACGGGUGAAAGCAGGGGAUCUUCGGACCUUGCGCGAUUGAAUGAGCCGAUGUCGGAUUAGCUAGUUGGCGGGGUAAAGGCCCACCAAGGCGACGAUCCGUAGCUGGUCUGAGAGGAUGAUCACCCACACUGGAACUGAGACACGGUCCAGACUCCUACGGGAGGCAGCAGUGGGGAAUAUUGGACAAUGGGCGCAAGCCUGAUCCAGCCAUACCGCGUGGGUGAAGAAGGCCUUCGGGUUGUAAAGCCCUUUUGUUGGGAAAGAAAAGCAGCAGGUUAAUCCCCCGCUGUUCUGCCGUUACCCAAAGAAUAAGCACCGGCUAACUUCGUG